AAUCAGUGUCCGCUCUUCCUAUUGGCUCAUGCUUGCGGCAGGGGAAUACGAAAUCUCCAGCCAAUAGGAAUCAAGGUGCCGGAACCCCAGUGGUUUCCCCAGCUGGGGUGAUCUGGCGCAGAGCGGAGUUGGCGCUUGGGGAUCGCUCCUGCUCCUCCCCUCUCCUUGCGGCCUCCGGGAGGUCGGCCCAGAUCCAGUGGUCUCCCGUGAGAUGUGGAUGACGCCCAAGAGGAGCAAAAUGGAAAUCGAGGAGCCUCGGGGGUUCCAGGCCGAGUGGACUCAGCGUUACCUGGUUGUGGAGCCUCCGGAAGGCGAAGGCGCCCUCUGCCUGGUCUGUCGCCGCCUGGUCGUAGCCAAUGGCGAACCCGAUGUCAGGCACCACUACGAGGCGGAGCACGACUACUACGAGCGGUAUGUGGCGGAGGGCGAGCGCGCGGCCCUGGUGGAGCGUCUGCGUCAGGGAGACUUGCCCGAUGCCGCCCCGCUCACCCCGGAGGAGAGAGCUGCUCGUGCAGGCCUCGGGCUCACCCGCCUCUUGGCCUUGAAGGGUCGCGGCUGGGGUGAGGGGGACUUCGUGUACCGGUGCAUGGAGGUGAUGCUCAGAGAUGUGCUGCCUGAUCACGUAGGCGUUAUGGAUGGCAUUGAUUUAUCUCCGGAGAUCACGCAGCAGAGGGUCCUAGACAUUAACCAGAAUCUACGCAGUCAGCUUUUUAACCGAGCCAAGGACUUUAAGGCCUAUUCCCUUGCUUUGGACGACCAGGCUUUUGUGGCCUAUGAGAACUACCUCCUCGUCUUUGUCCGCGGCGUGGGCCACGAUUUAGAGGUGCAGGAAGAGCUUCUGACCAUCAUCAACCUGACUCAGCACUUCAGUGUUGGUGCCCUCAUGGCGGCAAUCCUUGAGGCCCUGCAAACUGCAGGGCUUAGCCUGCAGCGGAUGGUUGGACUGACCACGACCCACACUCUGAGGAUGAUUGGUGAGAACUCAGGUCUGGUGUCAUACAUGAGAGAAAAGGCUGUAAGCCCCAACUGUUGGAAUGUUAUCCAUUAUUCGGGAUUUCUUCACUUGGAACUGUUGAGCUCCUACGAUGUGGAUGUUAAUCAGAUCAUAAAUGCCAUAUCUGAAUGGAUAGUUUUGAUUAAGACCAGAGGCGUUAGGCGGCCAGAAUUUCAGGCUUUACUAACUGAAUCGGAAUCAGAGCAUGGUGAAAGGGUUAAUGGACGCUGUCUGAACAAUUGGCUUAGAAGAGGGAAGACCUUAAAACUAAUAUUUUCUUUAAGAAAAGAGAUAAAAACAUUCUUGGUUUCAAUAGGGGCAACAACGGUCCAUUUCACAGACAAGCAGUGGCUUUGUGACUUUGGCUUUUUGGUGGAUAUUAUGGACCACCUUCGAGAACUCAGCGAACUAUUGAGAGUAAGUAAAGUCUUUGCUGCUGCUGCCUUUGACCAUAUUUGUACCUUUGAAGUUAAGCUGAAUUUACUUCAGAGACAUAUCGAGGAAAACAAUCUAACACACUUUGCCGCCUUGAGAGAAGUUGUUGAUGAGCUUAAAGAGCAUCUUCAAGAAGAUGAAAAAAUACUUGAUCCUGAAAGGUAUCAAGUAGUGAUCUGUCGCCUACAAAAAGAAUUUGAGAGACAUUUCAAGGACCUCAAGUUCAUUAAAAAGGACUUAGAGCUUUUUGCAAAUCCAUUUAGCUUUAAAGCUGAAUAUGCACCUAUUUCAGUAAGGGUGGAGCUAACAAAACUUCAGGCAAAUACUAAUCUUUGGAACGAAUACAGAACCAAAGACUUGGGGCAAUUCUAUGCCGGACUGUCUGCUGAAUCUUACCCAAUUAUCAAAGGGGUUGCCUGUAAGGUAGCAUCCUUGUUUGAUAGUAGCAAGAUUUGUGAAAAGGCUUUUUCAUAUUUGACUCGAAACCAGCACACCUUGAGCCACCCAUUGACAGAUGAACACCUCCACGCCCUGUUUAGGAUUGCCACCACUGAAAUAGAGCCUCAAUGGGAUGAUCUUGUGAGAGGAAGAAAUGAAUCGAAUCCAUAAGCUUUUGUGGUACAACACCGAAACACUCAACAAGAAUCCAACUCUAAAAGCAAAAAUAUGUUUGAUUUUCAAGUUUACUAAUUUGGAUUGUGGGAGAGUACCAUGUUUUUUCACCCAAAGUGAAAAAACUUUCAUCGCAAACAUUUUUCACAAUUCAAAUGCUUCAGACAAUUUUUUUUUCCUCUUUUCAAGAGGCAGCAUGAGACUGAAACAUGCAGAUACCUUUUUUCAAAACUUGGUGGCAGAUACCUUUUUUCAUUAUCUUUUGCUUUUAUGAUAUAAUUGUUUUUAAAGAAGUUCAGUAUUAAUCAUGUGAGUUGAAUUAGGAGUCUGUUUUUAAGACGUUUCAAAGAAACUUUAGCUCUUAUUUUAACAAAGCGUUGAGAUUCUGAUGCGUAUAGUCUGAAAUUAUCAACUCCUUAAAUGUAUGUUUGAGCCAGUUUGCAGAAACUCACAUUAACAAGUGCAGAAGUUUCUGAAAAGGAAGAACGUACAUACAGAGGAGGUAUUUUGUCUAACUAUCAAAAUGUCUGAGACUAUUUUUUUAGACACAUUUCUGAGGCUGAAGUAAAUACAGACAUAUUUUCUCCCUCUCACCUCCCCACCUGCCCUAGCGAUAAUGAUAUUACUCAUAGAGGAAAUAAUCAAUUAAAAUUUUAGUCAGAGGAGCAAGAAUUAUUUUUAAAUUGUUGGUUCAGGAAACUUCCUGAAGUUUGGAGAUCAGACUAACCAAUUAUUGGAGGUUUUCCCUGAUUUUUCACAAUUGGGUGCUGUUUUAUGAGCUUGCCUACUAAAGGACUACGAUGAUUCUGGCUCUUCUGGGAUUUAAAGUAAGUAAACUUAACAAAAUAUUAGAAGAAUGACUCAGCCCUUCCCGUCACUAGACACUCAGUUCACUUGCUUUCCUACCUGCAGGAUGUUCUUAUCUUCUCCCCAAGGAAGGUAACCUAGAAGUGACAUCUAGUCAAUGUAUGCUUCUUAGAUUUACUAUAUUUCUUUGCUUUCUUGUUCACAUGCCUCUCUGAACUUGGAUUUCUGAGUAACUUGGGCUUUCAGGCUUUGUGGGAGACCCAUACCUUAGUCUCUUUUUCCUUGAGCCAUUUUUUCCAAUUUAAGGGAUUAACCAGUGUUAACACUUUUAGUUGAACUUUUAGUUUGAGGCCCAUUAAACUGGUCUAAAGGUUUUAAUAGUAGGUGCGAUGGUCAUCCAGUGAUUUGAUCCUUGCUGCAAAAGUAGGUUUUAAUCAACCUUUGGAGUAAAGGAUUUCUCUUUUUCUCUCUGAAAUAGCCUCUUCCUACCUAAGCAUUUGAGUUUGUGAACUCUCUUUAUUCUCUUGCAUUUCUGCUUGCAAACUGAUGAGUUCUUUUCUGAGUUCAUCUCUUUCCUGUGUAUCUUGUCAAAUGCAACCAUAAAUAUUUUGUUUUCUUGUCUUUUUUUUCCUUAGUAAAGGAUAGAUUCUUUGCCCUCCAGAUGCUCUCAAAGGACAGUUUCACCACUCCAUAAUACGCAUUCCCCCAGCAUAAGUUAUCUCUUUCAUCCACCAAUAUCAAUUUUCUGAAGGCCUGCCAACUAAGCCAAUGUUCAAUAUGCUAGGUUUUUUUGAAAACAGCCAAUUCUUGUAUCAGAAUGGGCUAGGUUGCCAUGCGGUAACACCACAAAAUCUCAGUAUUUCACGCAGCUUUUCUCUCAUAGCUUGGCUAGGGGCUUUGUUCUAAGUCAGGUUGAUGAACUAUGGCCUGUGGGCAAAAAUCUGUCCUGCUACCUGUUUCUGUAAAUAAAGUUUUAGUGGAAGACAGCCUUGCCCAUUUGUUUAUGUAUUGUCUAUGGCUGCUUUUGCUCUACAGUGGCAGCUGAGUACAAAAGUGUGUGGCCCACAAUUUCUAAAAUAUUUACCAUGUGACCCUUUACAGAAAAUAUUCAUUGAUCCCGCUCUAAGUGGUCCUCAUUCUGGGACUCAGGCUGACCAAGCAGAUAUCUAGGGUGUAGUUGCUCAUUUUGGGAAAUGAAAAAAGUAUGACACAUCAUUUACAGGCCCUUAAGGCACUCUCAUUGACCAAAGCAAAUCCCACAGCCACAGCAAAGUUCGAGGAAGAGUGUAUUCCUUCCUCAAGCCUUGGAAGAGAACCAGAAUUAUUUGGAAGACAAUACUACCAAUUAACACAGUUAUAUCUUCCUACUUAGAAAAUUUCUUUUAUAGCUAUUUUAAAAUAUAUUUCCUUUUUAAUUGAGGUGAAAUUUACAGUCAGUAAAAUGCAAGUAUUUAGUGUACACCUCAGUAGACUUUUAUAUACACCCAUGAACCCACUACCCAGAUCAAGAUACUGGACAUUACUAGUACCCCUGUCAGUGCCCUAUGGCCCCCCCGACACACACACACAGAGAUAACUGCUAUUCUGACCCUUAUCACCAUGGGUUAUUUUUGUCCGUUUUAAAGCUUCAUGUAAAUGUAUAAUUACAUGUACUCUUAGUAUUGUGUCUGUGAGUUAUCCAUGUUAUUGUGUGUAGCAGUGGUUUGUUUUUUAUGUAUGACUUUACCACAAUAUAUGAAUCCAUUCUACUGUUGAUGGAAAUUUUGGUUGUUUCUAGUUUGUGGUUAUUAUGAAUAAAUAAAGUUGCUAUGAACAU
Molecule: RNA transcript, 4664 nt
Organism: Phacochoerus africanus (Common warthog)
Lineage: Eukaryota; Metazoa; Chordata; Mammalia; Artiodactyla; Suidae
Gene: EPM2AIP1
Gene name: EPM2A interacting protein 1
Exons: 2
Source: RefSeq, a predicted model, not a curated record